AUUGAACGCUGGCGGCAGGCUUAACACAUGCAAGUCGAGCGGGGGAAGGUAGCUUGCUACCGGACCUAGCGGCGGACGGGUGAGUAAUGCUUAGGAAUCUGCCUAUUAGUGGGGGACAACAUCUCGAAAGGGAUGCUAAUACCGCAUACGUCCUACGGGAGAAAGCAGGGGAUCUUCGGACCUUGCGCUAAUAGAUGAGCCUAAGUCGGAUUAGCUAGUUGGUGGGGUAAAGGCCUACCAAGGCGACGAUCUGUAGCGGGUCUGAGAGGAUGAUCCGCCACACUGGGACUGAGACACGGCCCAGACUCCUACGGGAGGCAGCAGUGGGGAAUAUUGGACAAUGGGGGAACCCUGAUCCAGCCAUGCCGCGUGUGUGGAGAAGGCCUUAUGGUUGUAAAGCACUUUAAGCGAGGAGGAGGCUACUUUAGUUAAUACCUAGAGAUAGUGGACGUUACUCGCAGAAUAAGCACCGGCUAACUCUGUGCCAGCCGCCGCCGUAA
This 500-nucleotide ribosomal RNA is filed under the name uncultured bacterium. RNAcentral's name for it is "partial 16S ribosomal RNA". It matches the Rfam family "Bacterial small subunit ribosomal RNA", at positions 30 to 523 of the family's 1533-position model. The record is from RNAcentral.